CACACGCACACACCAUCGUACGUCGCACAGAAAGUGAACGCAAGAAACGAAAAGUCAUCGUCACUCGUCACCCACCUCUUGCCUGCGUCGAAUGGCAAAAAAAAAGUAGAUUUCUUUAAGGCCUGUGAAAGUGGUCAGUGCAGUGCUAAGAAAAAGUGUUGAAAUUCCGGACCGUUUCGUGUCUGGUAGGCGGCAUCGUUCCGUCUCAGUGUUCGCUGGUGGAAUCGCGAUUGGUGACGCGGCGGACACAGGAAGCACGCACGUGCAAGUUCUCGGGAUACGGCACAACGCCGCCGCGGGAAGAAGAGGCAACGCGCGCGAGUUUCAUUCGUCCACAGCGCAACAGGAAUCACGGAAGAGCGGGUCAAUUAUUGUUACUCCGACGGUAAUUGCCAUCAAAAGUUACAAUUGAGGAGUCUAACCUCGCAUUCUCUGCACUAUUAGCUGACGAAGAUCGAGCGCCUGGUGGUGUGACUGGUUAGAGGACAGGCUAAAACGCUCAUCAAAUUGAGCGGAAAUACCCCACUGGGGUUUUUCGGUGGAGCCAAUUCCCAUCAUCGAGGUCCGGGAGUAUCGUGAUCGAGGCAGCGGUGCGACAAGGCGACGGGCGGAUUGCCGAUACAUCGAGUGUGCUUCACUCGGCCGGCAGGGCCAAGUCGGAGGAAAUUCGUUCGGGAACCAGCAGCCCUUCGGUGGAUCACUCGGAGGGACCCCAUCCAGUUACUUGGUCGCACUGGACGCCAGAGGGGUCUCCAGCAGAGUGAUUAGGAUGCAUGCGUGGGACGGCAGUGAAAUGCGACAGGCGAACAGUCGCGGCAGCGAGAGCUCCGCCGAGGAAAUAGUGUAGGGGGACGCCCCGAACACAAAAAGGUACACAGAGUACGAAGAAGAAACCGUGAGUAAGGAAGACAAAUGUUAGUUUGUAAGGAAAUGAAGAUAUAGAGAAAGGAGAAGAGAGAGAUGCUUAGGAGCUAGG
Long non-coding RNA from Armigeres subalbatus, 976 nucleotides. RefSeq lists it as uncharacterized. The transcript is spliced from 3 exons. The record is from RefSeq and is a predicted model, not a curated record. NCBI's taxonomy places the organism in Eukaryota, Metazoa, Arthropoda, Insecta, Diptera, Culicidae.